CCUACGGGAGGCAGCAGUAAGGAAUAUUGGUCAAUGGACGAAAGUCUGAACCAGCCAUGCCGCGUGAAGGAUUAAGGCCCUCUGGGUUGUAAACUUCUUUUAUCUGGGACGAAAAAAGGGUAUUCUUACUCACUUGACGGUACCAGAGGAAUAAGCACCGGCUAACUCCGUGCCAGCAGCCGCGGUAAUACGGAGGGUGCAAGCGUUAUCCGGAUUUACUGGGUUUAAAGGGUGCGUAGGUGGGCUUGUAAGUCAGUGGUGAAAUCUCCGGGCUUAACCCGGAAACUGCCAUUGAUACUAUAGGUCUUGAAUUAUCUGGAGGUAAGCGGAAUAUGUCAUGUAGCGGUGAAAUGCUUAGAUAUGACAUAGAACACCAAUUGCGAAGGCAGCUUACUACGGAUAUAUUGACACUGAGGCACGAAAGCGUGGGGAUCAAACAGGAUUAGAUACCCUGGUAGUCCACGCCCUAAACGAUGGAUACUCGACAUCAGCGAUACACUGUUGGUGUCUGAGCGAAAGCAUUAAGUAUCCACCUGGAAGUACGAUCGCAAGAUUGAAACUCAAAGAGUAGUAGACGUGAGAUGCGACGAGACACAGGAGGUUAGG
Molecule: ribosomal RNA, 606 nt
Filed under: uncultured bacterium
Lineage: Bacteria
Description: bacterial SSU rRNA
Rfam family: Bacterial small subunit ribosomal RNA
Source: RNAcentral